AAGUCGUAACAAGGUUUCCGUAGGUGAACCUGCGGAAGGAUCAUUACCGAGUUAGGGUUCCCUUCUCUGGGGCCCGACCUCCCAACCCUGUGUCUUAAACAAACUUGUACGUGUUGCUUCGGUGGACCGGUCUCCCGGCCGCCGGGAGGGUCUCACCCCCCUGGACAGUGUCCACCGACAGCCCAACCCCAAAACUCCACAAACAAACCAUGUGAAUUCUUCUGAAUCAAACUUUUUGUUUUGAUAACCACAUCAAAAUUUAAAACCAAAACUUUCAACAACGGAUCUCUUGGUUCUGGCAUCGAUGAAGAACGCAGCGAAAUGCGAUAAGUAAUGCGAAUUGCAGAAUUUCCGUGAGUCAUCGAAUCUUUGAACGCACAUUGCGCCCUUUGGCAUUCCGAAGGGCAUGCCUGUUCGAGCGUCAUUAUCCUCCCUCAAACCCCCCGGGUUUGGCGUUGGACCGUGUUGGGACCGCCUUGUGUCCCAACUGGUCUCAAAGACAAUGACGGCGUCCGUGGGACCCUCUUCGCACUGAGCUUUCCGGAGCACGCGUAGAGUGUCAAGGUCCCCGGGCCCGGUCACCCUUAUUUUAUUUUCUAGGUUGACCUCGGAUCAGGUAGGAAUACCCGCUGAACUUAA
RNAcentral lists this ribosomal RNA (639 nucleotides) under uncultured fungus. RNAcentral's name for it is "eukaryotic LSU rRNA". The stretch from base 270 to 424 matches the Rfam family "5.8S ribosomal RNA". The record is from RNAcentral. Lineage: Eukaryota; Fungi.